This 229-nucleotide ribosomal RNA is filed under the name uncultured bacterium. RNAcentral's name for it is "partial 16S ribosomal RNA". It matches the Rfam family "Bacterial small subunit ribosomal RNA", at positions 568 to 796 of the family's 1533-position model. The record is from RNAcentral.
UACGUAGGCGGAAAAUUAAGUCAGUAGUGAAAUCCUGCAGCUUAACUGUAGAACUGUUAUUGAUACUGGUUUUCUUGAAUAUUGUUGAGGUAGGCGGAAUGUGUAAUGCAGCGGUGAAAUGCUUAGAUAUUACACAGAACACCGAUUGCGAAGGCAGCUUACUAAGCAAUUAUUGACGCUGAGGUACGAAAGCGUGGGGAGCGAACAGGAUUAGAUACCCUGGUAGUCC